AACGAACGCUGGCGGCAUGCCUAACACAUGCAAGUCGAACGAGAUCUUCGGGUCUAGUGGCGCACGGGUGCGUAACGCGUGGGAAUCUGCCCUUUGGUUCGGAAUAACAGUUGGAAACGACUGCUAAUACCGGAUGAUGACGAAAGUCCAAAGAUUUAUCGCCAGAGGAUAAGCCCGCGUAGGAUUAGCUAGUUGGUGUGGUAAAGGCGCACCAAGGCGACGAUCCUUAGCUGGUCUGAGAGGAUGAUCAGCCACACUGGGACUGAGACACGGCCCAGACUCCUACGGGAGGCAGCAGUGGGGAAUAUUGGACAAUGGGCGAAAGCCUGAUCCAGCAAUGCCGCGUGAGUGAUGAAGGCCUUAGGGUUGUAAAGCUCUUUUACCCGGGAUGAUAAUGACAGUACCGGGAGAAUAAGCUCCGGCUAACUCCGUGCCAGCCGCCACCGUAA
This 449-nucleotide ribosomal RNA is filed under the name uncultured bacterium. Its description in RNAcentral is "partial 16S ribosomal RNA". It matches the Rfam family "Bacterial small subunit ribosomal RNA", at positions 29 to 523 of the family's 1533-position model. The record is from RNAcentral.